Molecule: ribosomal RNA, 301 nt
Filed under: uncultured bacterium
Lineage: Bacteria
Description: partial 16S ribosomal RNA
Rfam family: Bacterial small subunit ribosomal RNA
Source: RNAcentral
CAGCAGCCGCGGGAAUACGUAGGUCCCGAGCGUUGUCCGGAUUUAUUGGGCGUAAAGCGAGCGCAGGCGGUUAGAUAAGUCUGAAGUUAAAGGCUGUGGCUUAACCAUAGUACGCUUUGGAAACUGUUUAACUUGAGUGCAGAAGGGGAGAGUGGAAUUCCAUGUGUAGCGGUGAAAUGCGUAGAUAUAUGGAGGAACACCGGUGGCGAAAGCGGCUCUCUGGUCUGUAACUGACGCUGAGGCUCGAAAGCGUGGGGAGCGAACAGGAUUAGAUACCCGUGUAGUCCCUGUCUCUUAUACA